RNAcentral lists this ribosomal RNA (536 nucleotides) under uncultured bacterium. Its description in RNAcentral is "bacterial SSU rRNA". It matches the Rfam family "Bacterial small subunit ribosomal RNA", at positions 355 to 907 of the family's 1533-position model. The record is from RNAcentral.
UUGGGAAUCUUGCACAAUGGGCGAAAGCCUGAUGCAGCGACGUCGCGUGGGGGACGAAGGUCUUCGGAUCGUAAACCCCUUUUGUCGGGGAAGAUAGUGACGGUACCCGGCGAAUAAGCCCCGGCUAACUACGUGCCAGCAGCCGCGGUAAUACGUAGGGGGCGAGCGUUGUCCGGAUUUACUGGGCGUAAAGAGCGCGUAGGCGGUUCGUUAAGUUGGCUGUGAAAUCUCCCGGCCUAACUGGGAGGCGUCAGCCGAGACUGGCGAACUUGAGGGCGGUAGAGGAAGGUGGAACUCCGGGUGUAGUGGUGAAAUGCGUAGAUAUCCGGAAGAAUACCGGUGGCGAAGGCGGCCUUCUGGGCCGUACCUGACGCUGAGGCGCGAAAGCGUGGGGAGCGAACUGAAUUAGAUACUCAGGUAGUCCACGCCCUAAACGAUGGACGCUAGGUGUCGGGGGUAUCGGACCCCUCCGGUGCCGAAGCUAACGCAUUAAGCGUCCGCCUGGGGAGUACGGCCGCAAGGCUAAAACUCAAAGG